CCUACGGGAGGCAGCAGUGAGGAAUAUUGGUCAAUGGACGAGAGUCUGAACCAGCCAAGUAGCGUGAAGGAUGACUGCCCUAUGGGUUGUAAACUUCUUUUAUAUGGGAAUAAAACGUUCCACGUGUGGGAUUUUGUAUGUACCAUAUGAAUAAGGAUCGGCUAACUCCGUGCCAGCAGCCGCGGUAAUACGGAGGAGCCGAGCGUUAUCCGGAGUUAUUGGGGUUAAAGGGAGCGUAGGUGGAUUGUUAAGUCAGUUGUGAAAGUUUGCGGCUCAACCGUAAAAUUGCAGUUGAAACUGGCAGUCUUGAGUACAGUAGAGGUGGGCGGAAUUCGUGGUGUAGCGGUGAAAUGCUUAGAUAUCACGAAGAACUCCGAUUGCGAAGGCAGUUCACUGGACUGCAACUGACACUGAGGCUCGAAAGUGUGGGUAUCAAACAGGAUUAGAUACCCAGUAGUC
Molecule: ribosomal RNA, 459 nt
Filed under: uncultured bacterium
Lineage: Bacteria
Description: partial 16S ribosomal RNA
Rfam family: Bacterial small subunit ribosomal RNA
Source: RNAcentral